UUGGUAGGUAGAGAACUUUUU
Molecule: non-coding RNA, 21 nt
Organism: Caenorhabditis elegans
Lineage: Eukaryota; Metazoa; Nematoda; Chromadorea; Rhabditida; Rhabditidae
Source: Ensembl